Molecule: ribosomal RNA, 700 nt
Filed under: uncultured Rhodoferax sp.
Lineage: Bacteria; Pseudomonadati; Pseudomonadota; Betaproteobacteria; Burkholderiales; Comamonadaceae
Description: bacterial SSU rRNA
Rfam family: Bacterial small subunit ribosomal RNA
Source: RNAcentral
GAACGGCAGCACGGGAGCAAUCCUGGUGGCGAGUGGCGAACGGGUGAGUAAUAUAUCGGAACGUGCCCAGUCGUGGGGGAUAACGCAGCGAAGGCUGUGCUAAUACCGCAUACGAUCUAUGGAUGAAAGCGGGGGAUCGCAAGACCUCGCGCGAUUGGAGCGGCCGAUAUCAGAUUAGCUAGUUGGUGGGGUAAAAGCCCACCAAGGCGACGAUCUGUAGCUGGUCUGAGAGGACGACCAGCCACACUGGAACUGAGACACGGUCCAGACUCCUACGGGAGGCAGCAGUGGGGAAUUUUGGACAAUGGGCGCAAGCCUGAUCCAGCAAUGCCGCGUGCAGGAUGAAGGCCUUCGGGUUGUAAACUGCUUUUGUACGGAACGAAACGGCGAACUCUAAUAAAGUUUGCUAAUGACGGUACCGUAAGAAUAAGCACCGGCUAACUACGUGCCAGCAGCCGCGGUAAUACGUAGGGUGCAAGCGUUAAUCGGAAUUACUGGGCGUAAAGCGUGCGCAGGCGGUUAUAUAAGACAGAUGUGAAAUCCCCGGGCUCAACCUGGGACCUGCAUUUGUGACUGUAUAGCUAGAGUACGGUAGAGGGGGAUGGAAUUCCGCGUGUAGCAGUGAAAUGCGUAGAUAUGCGGAGGAACACCGAUGGCGAAGGCAAUCCCCUGGACCUGUACUGACGCUCACGCACGAAAG